RNAcentral lists this ribosomal RNA (253 nucleotides) under uncultured bacterium. Its description in RNAcentral is "partial 16S ribosomal RNA". It matches the Rfam family "Bacterial small subunit ribosomal RNA", at positions 524 to 776 of the family's 1533-position model. The record is from RNAcentral.
UACAGAGGUUGCGAGCGUUAUCCGGAAUGACUGGGCGUAAAGCGUGUGUAGGCGGCUUUCUAAGUCCCUUGUGAAAUCCCAGGGCUCAACUCUGGACAGGCGGUGGAAACUACCAAGCUGGAGUACGGUAGGGGCAGAGGGAAUUUCCGGUGGAGCGGUGAAAUGCGUAGAGAUCGGAUAGAACACCAACGGCGAAAGCAGCGAAUUGGCGCUAUAUUGACGCUCAGGCACGAAAGCAUGGGGAUCAAACAGG